RNAcentral lists this ribosomal RNA (303 nucleotides) under Klebsiella pneumoniae. RNAcentral describes it as "partial 23S ribosomal RNA". It matches the Rfam family "Bacterial large subunit ribosomal RNA", at positions 2640 to 2925 of the family's 2925-position model. Lineage: Bacteria; Pseudomonadati; Pseudomonadota; Gammaproteobacteria; Enterobacterales; Enterobacteriaceae. The record is from RNAcentral.
AUCUGCCGUGGGCGCUGGAGAAUUGAGGGGGGCUGCUCCUAGUACGAGAGGACCGGAGUGGACGCAUCACUGGUGUUCGGGUUGUCAUGCCAAUGGCACUGCCCGGUAGCUAAAUGCGGAAGAGAUAAGUGCUGAAAGCAUCUAAGCACGAAACUUGCCCCGAGAUGAGUUCUCCCUGAGACUAUAAGUCUCCUGAAGGAACGUUAAAGACGAUGACGUUGAUAGGCCGGGUGUGUAAGCGCAGCGAUGCGUUGAGCUAACCGGUACUAAUGAACCGUGAGGCUUAACCUUACAACGCCGAAG